GCCGGGCGCAGUGGCAUGUGCCUGUAGUCCUGGCUACUGGGGAGGCUGAGGUGGGAGGAUCGCUUGAGCCCAGGAGUUCUGGGCUGUAGUACACUAUGCUGAUCGGGUGUCCGCACUAAGGUUGGCAUCAAUAUGGUGACCUCCUGGGAGUGGGGGACCACCAGGUUGCCUAAGGAGGGGAGAACUGGCCUAGGUUGGAAAUGGAGCAGGUCAAAACUCCUGUGCUGGUCAGUAGUGGGAUUGCGCCUGUGAAUUGCCACUGCACUUCAGCCUGGGCAACAUAGUGAGACCCCAUCUCU
This 299-nucleotide signal recognition particle RNA is filed under the name Cebus imitator (Panamanian white-faced capuchin). Its description in RNAcentral is "Metazoan signal recognition particle RNA (ENSCCAG00000012716.1)". It matches the Rfam family "Metazoan signal recognition particle RNA". Rfam says of the family: The signal recognition particle (SRP) is a universally conserved ribonucleoprotein. It is involved in the co-translational targeting of proteins to membranes. Lineage: Eukaryota; Metazoa; Chordata; Mammalia; Primates; Cebidae. The record is from RNAcentral.